CACAAGCGGUGGAGCAUGUGGUUAAUUCGACGCAACGCGAAGAACCUUACCGAGGGCUUGACAUCCCCUGACCGCGUAUGAAAGUACGUUUUCACCUCGGGUGACAGGGAGACAGGUGGUGCAUGGUUGUCGUCAGCUCGUGUCGUGAGAUGUUGGGUUAAGUCCCGCAACGAGCGCAACCCCUACGUUUAGUUGCUAACGCGUGAAGGCGAGCACUCUAGACGAACUGCCGUUGACAAAACGGAGGAAGGUGGGAUGACGUCAAAUCAUCAUGCCCCUUAUGUUCUGGGCUACACACGUGCUACAAUGGCCGGUACAGACGGACGCAAAGCCGCGAGGUGGAGCAAAUCCUAAAAAGCCGGUCUCAGUUCGGAUUGCAGGCUGCAAUUCGCCUGCAUGAAGUCGGAAUCGCUAGUAAUCGCAGGUCAGCAUACUGCGGUGAAUACGUUCCCGGGCCUU
RNAcentral lists this ribosomal RNA (459 nucleotides) under uncultured Pelotomaculum sp. Its description in RNAcentral is "bacterial SSU rRNA". It matches the Rfam family "Bacterial small subunit ribosomal RNA", at positions 924 to 1382 of the family's 1533-position model. The record is from RNAcentral. Lineage: Bacteria; Bacillati; Bacillota; Clostridia; Eubacteriales; Desulfotomaculaceae.